Molecule: ribosomal RNA, 244 nt
Filed under: uncultured bacterium
Lineage: Bacteria
Description: partial 16S ribosomal RNA
Rfam family: Bacterial small subunit ribosomal RNA
Source: RNAcentral
UACGUAGGGUCCCGAGCGUUGUCCGGAAUUAUUGGGCGUAAAGGGCUCGUAGGCGGUUUGUCGCGUCGGGAGUGAAAACACCGGGCUUAACUCGGUGCUUGCUUUCGAUACGGGCAGACUAGAGGUAUUCAGGGGAGAACGGAAUUCCUGGUGUAGCGGUGAAAUGCGCAGAUAUCAGGAGGAACACCGGUGCGAAGGCGGUUCUCUGGGAAUAUCCUGACGCUGAGGAGCGAAAGUGUGGGGA